UACGGAGGAUGCGAGCGUUAUCCGGAUUUAUUGGGUUUAAAGGGUGCGUAGGUUGUUUUUUAAGUCAGCGGUGAAAGUUUGUGGCUCAACCAUAAAAUUGCCGUUGAAACUGGAAGACUUGAGUGUGUUUGAGGUAGGCGGAAUGCGUGGUGUAGCGGUGAAAUGCGUAGAUAUCAGGAGGAACACCGGCGGCGAAGGCGGCUUACUGGACUGUAACUGACGUUGAGGCUCGAAGGCGUGGGGAGCAAACAGG
RNAcentral lists this ribosomal RNA (253 nucleotides) under uncultured Parabacteroides sp. RNAcentral's name for it is "partial 16S ribosomal RNA". It matches the Rfam family "Bacterial small subunit ribosomal RNA", at positions 524 to 776 of the family's 1533-position model. Lineage: Bacteria; Pseudomonadati; Bacteroidota; Bacteroidia; Bacteroidales; Tannerellaceae. The record is from RNAcentral.